This 1205-nucleotide ribosomal RNA is filed under the name uncultured Alcanivorax sp. RNAcentral's name for it is "bacterial SSU rRNA". It matches the Rfam family "Bacterial small subunit ribosomal RNA", at positions 56 to 1265 of the family's 1533-position model. The record is from RNAcentral. Lineage: Bacteria; Pseudomonadati; Pseudomonadota; Gammaproteobacteria; Oceanospirillales; Alcanivoracaceae.
UGCAAGUCGAGCGGAAACGAUGGUAGCUUGCUACCAGGCGUCGAGCGGCGGACGGGUGAGUAACGCGUGAGAAUCUGCCCAUUUGUGGGGGAUAACUCGGGGAAACUCGAGCUAAUACCGCAUAAUCCCUACGGGGGAAAGCAGGGGACCUUCGGGCCUUGUGCAGAUGGAUGAGCUCGCGUCGGAUUAGCUUGUUGGUGAGGUAAAGGCUCACCAAGGCGACGAUCCGUAGCUGGUCUGAGAGGAUGAUCAGCCACACCGGGACUGAGACACGGCCCGGACUCCUACGGGAGGCAGCAGUGGGGAAUCUUGGACAAUGGGGGCAACCCUGAUCCAGCCAUGCCGCGUGUGUGAAGAAGGCCUUCGGGUUGUAAAGCACUUUCAGUAGGGAGGAAGGCUUACCGCUAAUAACGGUGAGUACUUGACGUUACCUACAGAAGAAGCACCGGCUAAUUUCGUGCCAGCAGCCGCGGUAAUACGAAAGGUGCGAGCGUUAAUCGGAAUUACUGGGCGUAAAGCGCGCGUAGGCGGUUUGUUAAGUCAGAUGUGAAAGCCCCGGGCUCAACCUGGGAAUUGCAUUUGAAACUGGCAGGCUAGAGUGCAGUAGAGGGAGGUGGAAUUUCCGGUGUAGCGGUGAAAUGCGUAGAGAUCGGAAGGAACACCAGUGGCGAAGGCGGCCUCCUGGACUGACACUGACGCUGAGGUGCGAAAGCGUGGGGAGCAAACAGGAUUAGAUACCCUGGUAGUCCACGCCGUAAACGAUGUCUACUAGUCGUUGGGAAUCUUAGUAUUCUUGGUGACGAAGUUAACGCGAUAAGUAGACCGCCUGGGGAGUACGGCCGCAAGGUUAAAACUCAAAUGAAUUGACGGGGGCCCGCACAAGCGGUGGAGCAUGUGGUUUAAUUCGAUGCAACGCGAAGAACCUUACCAGGCCUUGACAUCCUUGGACUUUCUAGAGAUAGAUUGUGCCUUCGGGAGCCAGUGACAGGUGCUGCAUGCUGUCGUCAGCUCGUGUCGUGAGAUGUGGGAUUAGUCCCGUACGAGCGCACCCUUGUCCUAGUGCCAGCACUUCGGGGACUCUAGGAGACUGCCGGUGACAACCGGAAGAGGUGGGGACACGCUCAAGUCAUACUAUGCGGCUUACGGGCGUGCCUACCCACCGGCUCACUAUGGGGCGGUACAAAAAGGGCAGCGGAAAUUUCUAC